CUAAACUGGCGCCGCCUCGGUGCUCGCGCGUGCGUCGCGCGGUUAAACGGGAAGCAGGGCGCGCGCUCCGCAUGGAGAUCGCCAACCUGCGCUGCCCCCGCAACGGUAAGCGGCCGCGUCGGACGACGCAGGCCGGCUCGGGCGCGUUUCGCGUGCAGGUCGCACGCGGGCGCGGGCCACUGCGCGUGAUUCGCGCGGGAAGGCGAGCCGGUACGCCGCCAGCCCGGAUACCGGCCGAGGCGAGGAGCCUGCAC
RNAcentral lists this non-coding RNA (254 nucleotides) under Burkholderia diffusa. The record is from RNAcentral. Lineage: Bacteria; Pseudomonadati; Pseudomonadota; Betaproteobacteria; Burkholderiales; Burkholderiaceae.